This 216-nucleotide ribosomal RNA is filed under the name Glomeromycotina sp. RNAcentral's name for it is "partial small subunit ribosomal RNA". The stretch from base 40 to 216 matches the Rfam family "Eukaryotic small subunit ribosomal RNA", at positions 686 to 864 of the family's 1831-position model. Lineage: Eukaryota; Fungi; Glomeromycota. The record is from RNAcentral.
GGGUCAGUAGGUUGGUCGUGCCACCGGUACGUACUGGUCUCACUGAUUCCUCCUUCCUGAAGAACCGUAAUGCCAUUAAUUUGGUGUUGCAGGGAAACAGGACUGUUACUUCGAAAAAAUUAGAGUGUUUAAAGCAAGCUAACGCUUGAAUACAUUAGCAUGGAAUAAUGAAAUAGGACGAUCGAUCCUAUUUUGUUGGUUUCUAGGAUUGACGUA